GACGAACGCUGGCGGCGUGCUUAACACAUGCAAGUCGAACGGAAAGGCCCUGCUUUUGUGGGGUGCUCGAGUGGCGAACGGGUGAGUAACACGUGAGUAACCUGCCCUUGACUUUGGGAUAACUUCAGGAAACUGGGGCUAAUACCGGAUAGGAGCUCCUGCUGCAUGGUGGGGGUUGGAAAGUUUCGGCGGUUGGGGAUGGACUCGCGGCUUAUGAGCUUGUUGGUGGGGUAGUGGCUUACCAAGGCUUUGACGGGUAGCCGGCCUGAGAGGGUGACCGGCCACAUUGGGACUGAGAUACGGCGCAGACUGCUACGGGAGGCAGCAGUGGGGAAUAUUGCACAGUGGGCGGACGCCUGAUGCAGCAACGCCGCGUGCGGGAUGACGGCCUUCGGGUUGUGAACCGCUUUCGCCUGUGACGAAGCGGGAGUGACGGUAAUGGGUAAAGAAGCACCGGCUAACUACGUG
This 468-nucleotide ribosomal RNA is filed under the name uncultured bacterium. Its description in RNAcentral is "partial 16S ribosomal RNA". It matches the Rfam family "Bacterial small subunit ribosomal RNA", at positions 28 to 507 of the family's 1533-position model. The record is from RNAcentral.